RNAcentral lists this ribosomal RNA (628 nucleotides) under uncultured fungus. RNAcentral describes it as "eukaryotic LSU rRNA". The stretch from base 160 to 310 matches the Rfam family "5.8S ribosomal RNA". The record is from RNAcentral. Lineage: Eukaryota; Fungi.
UCCGUAGGUGAACCUGCGGUUGGAUCAUUAAUAAAUAGAGUUUUGAACUCGCGCUGAUUCACUUUCGGGUGGAUUGGUAAACCCCUGUGCAUUGUUUGUUUCCUUUGGGAAAUCUCUACUUUUUAUACUGACUGAAUCAAUAGAUUUAAAUUAAAAAACAACUUUUAACAACGGAUCUCUUGGCUCUCGCAACGAUGAAGAACGCAGCGAAAUGCGAUACGUAAUGUGAAUUGCAGACCGUGAAUCAUCUAAUCUUUGAACGCAUAUUGCGCUUUCUGGUAUUCCGGAGAGCAUGCCUGUUUGAGAAUCGACAAAACAAAUCAACCUGUUGGAGUGACACAAUUGUGUGACUUUGAAAGGUUUGGACUUGGGCAGUUGUAUUUAUUUACAACGUCUGUAAAAUAGCGUCGACCUUGGCUUCAUUGUUACUUGGAACGUGUUUAACUGAUGCAAAUCAACUCUACAGACCACUUAACGUCAAAUGAGAAGAGGGCGAUUUUAUGACAACUUUAAUUAACAUUAAAACAAUUGGUCUCAAAUCAGGCAAGAGUACCCGCUGAACUUAAGCAUAUCAAUAAGGCGGGGGAGGGGAAGGGUCGGACUGGCCCAAGGGGCACACAGGGGGGAU